AUUGAACGCUGGCGGAAUGCUUUACACAUGCAAGUCGAACGGCAGCACGGGAGCUUGCUCCUGGUGGCGAGUGGCGAACGGGUGAGUAAUGCGUCGGAACGUACCGAGUAAUGGGGGAUAACGCAGCGAAAGCUGUGCUAAUACCGCAUACGCCCUGAGGGGGAAAGUGGGGGAUCGCAAGACCUCACGUUAUUCGAGCGGCCGACGUCUGAUUAGCUAGUUGGUGGGUAAAGGCCGUACCAAGGCGACGAUCAGUAGCGGGUCUGAGAGGAUGAUCCGCCACACUGGAACUGAGACACGGUCCACGACUCCUACCGGGAGGCGAGCAGUGGGGAAUUUUGGGACAAUGGGGGCAACCCUGACUCCAGCCAUUCCGCGUGAGUGAAGAAGGCCUCGGUUGUAAG
RNAcentral lists this ribosomal RNA (404 nucleotides) under uncultured bacterium. Its description in RNAcentral is "bacterial SSU rRNA". It matches the Rfam family "Bacterial small subunit ribosomal RNA", at positions 30 to 429 of the family's 1533-position model. The record is from RNAcentral.